Molecule: ribosomal RNA, 448 nt
Filed under: uncultured bacterium
Lineage: Bacteria
Description: bacterial SSU rRNA
Rfam family: Bacterial small subunit ribosomal RNA
Source: RNAcentral
UCGGGAAUUUUGGGCAAUGGGCGAAAGCCUGACCCAGCAACGCCGCGUGAAGGAUGAAGUAUUUCGGUAUGUAAACUUCGAAAGAAUAGGAAGAAUAAAUGACGGUACUAUUUAUAAGGUCCGGCUAACUACGUGCCAGCAGCCGCGGUAAUACGUAGGGACCAAGCGUUGUUCGGAUUUACUGGGCGUAAAGGGCGCGUAGGCGGCAAUUCAAGUCAUCUGUGAAAUCUCCGGGCUUAACUCGGAACGGUCAGAUGAUACUGCUUUGCUAGAGUGCAGAAGGGGCAAUCGGAAUUCUUGGUGUAGCGGUGAAAUGCGUAGAUAUCAAGAGGAACACCUGAGGUGAAGACGGGUUGCUGGGCUGACACUGACGCUGAGGCGCGAAAGCCAGGGGAGCAAACGGGGAUUAGAUACCCGCGUAGUCCCUGAGCGGGCUGGCAAGGCGCAU